RNAcentral lists this ribosomal RNA (424 nucleotides) under uncultured bacterium. RNAcentral describes it as "partial 16S ribosomal RNA". It matches the Rfam family "Bacterial small subunit ribosomal RNA", at positions 360 to 776 of the family's 1533-position model. The record is from RNAcentral.
AAUUUUGGACACUGGGCGCAAGCCUGAUCCAGCCGUGCCGCGUGAUUGAAGAAGGCCUUCGGGUUGUAAAUCUCUUUCGGCCGAAAAGAAAUCGCGCAGGCUAAUACCCUGCCCGGAUGACGGUACCGUCAUAUGAACCCCCGCCCACCUACGUGCCCGCUGCCGCGGUAAUACGUAGGGUGCGAGCGUUAAUCGGAAUUACUGGGCGUAAAGAGUGCGCAGGCGGUUGAUUAAGACAGGCGUGAAAGCCCCGGGCUUAACCUGGGAACUGCGCUUGUGACUGGUCAGCUAGAGUACGGCAGAGGGGGGUGGAAUUCCACGUGUAGCAGUGAAAUGCGUAGAGAUGUGGAGGAACACCGAUGGCGAAGGCAGCCCCCUGGGCCGAUACUGACGCUCAUGCACGAAAGCGUGGGUAGCAAACAGG